Molecule: ribosomal RNA, 484 nt
Filed under: uncultured bacterium
Lineage: Bacteria
Description: partial 16S ribosomal RNA
Rfam family: Bacterial small subunit ribosomal RNA
Source: RNAcentral
AUUGAACGCUGGCGGCAGGCCUAACACAUGCAAGUCGAGCGGAAGAAGCGGGCUUGCUCCUUGAUUCAGCGGUGGACGGGUGAGUAACGCCUAGGUAUCUCCCUGGUAGUGGGGGAUAACGUCCGGUAACGGCCUCUAAUACCGCAUCCGUUUCGCGGGAGAAAGUGAGGGUUCUUCGGACCUCACGCUAUGAGAUGCUCCUAGGUCGGAUUAGCUAGUUGGUGGGGUAAAGGCCUACCAAGGCGACGACCCGUAACUGGUCUGAGAGGAUGAUCAGUCACACUGGAACUGAGACACGGUCCAGACUCCGACGGGAGGCAGCAGUGGGGAAUAGUGGACAAGGGGCGAAAGCCGGAUCCAGCCAUGCCGCGUGUGUGAAGAAGGUCUUCGGAUUGGAGAUGACUUCAAGUUGGGAGGAAGGGCAGUAAGUCAAGACGGUGGUGUUGUGACGUUACCAAUAGAAUAAGCACCGGCUAACUUCGUG